This 253-nucleotide ribosomal RNA is filed under the name uncultured bacterium. RNAcentral describes it as "partial 16S ribosomal RNA". It matches the Rfam family "Bacterial small subunit ribosomal RNA", at positions 524 to 776 of the family's 1533-position model. The record is from RNAcentral.
UACGUAGGCAGCGAGCGUUGUUCGGAGUUACUGGGCGUAAAGCGUGCGUAGGCGGUGGUCCAAGUCUGGUGUGAAAUCUCCCGGCUUAACUGGGAGGGUGCGCCGGAAACUGGGCCGCUGGAGUACGGGAGAGGCAAGCGGAAUUCCGGGUGUAGCGGUGGAAUGCGUAGAGAUCCGGAAGAACACCGGUGGCGAAGGCGGCCUGCUGGGCAGUUGCUGACACUGAGGCGCGACAGCGUGGGGAGCAAACAGG